RNAcentral lists this long non-coding RNA (480 nucleotides) under Durio zibethinus. Its description in RNAcentral is "long non-coding RNA (DZIB_LNC001047)". The record is from RNAcentral. Lineage: Eukaryota; Viridiplantae; Streptophyta; Magnoliopsida; Malvales; Malvaceae.
GCGAAAUUAUGGAGCAAACAAAGAUGAUGGCUCCCUCAAAAAAUUUUGAUAAUAUUAUAGUAUCAAACUAAAUCCUUUUAAUGGAAAACUGGACUCCUUUUCUACUUUGAUUCACUAUUUUCAUCCUUGGUUUCGUCCUUAAGCACAACCUCCAUAAUAUAUAUAGAUAAGGUUAUAAGACAAAAAUGAAAAUGCUAGCCCGAUUCAAAACAUGAAAAAUUACAUGCAUAAAAAAGAGAAAAAAAAGAGUUAAAUUAAAAAAAUUUCACAUAUUAUAUAUUUUUUAUUUGUUUGAUACUUACAAAAAUAAAAUGCCUAAUUAAAUAUCUGAACUUUUAUUUUUACACUUUGUUCCCGGAUUAACGCAGUUAAUAAAAUUACUAAUGUUGCAUAAAUACUUAAUAAAAUCAUGACACUUAGUAAAAAAAUCCAACUAUCACUAGAUUUUCAUUCUCACGGCAAUAUUAGAAGAAAAUUUUU